Molecule: ribosomal RNA, 253 nt
Filed under: uncultured bacterium
Lineage: Bacteria
Description: partial 16S ribosomal RNA
Rfam family: Bacterial small subunit ribosomal RNA
Source: RNAcentral
UACGUAGGUGGCAAGCGUUGUCCGGAUUUACUGGGCGUAAAGAGCGCGCAGGCGGUCGUUCAAGUCGCGUGUGAAAGCCCCCGGCUCAACUGGGGAGGGUCACGCGAUACUGCUCGACUUGAAGGCAGGAGAGGGAAGUGGAAUUCCCGGUGUAGUGGUGAAAUGCGUAGAUAUCGGGAGGAACACCAGUGGCGAAGGCGACUACCUGGCCUGUUCUUGACGCUGAGGCGCGAAAGCUAGGGGAGCAAACGGG